UUAAUUAAAAAGUGGUCAUUGCCUAUUCACCCCCCUCUAGUCAAUCAUAUCGAUCCUUUCAGUCUUCCUCGCGCCUGCGCCUCUUCCUUCUCGCCGUUCCCGAAGCUCCAUCGCCAGCCAUCUUGGUCCGGACGUCUCCAGGCGAACCGAAGGCUCAGUAUCCGCCGCAGAUCUUCUGCAUCCACCUCCUGGAAUCGUCAUCCUUUCUAAGGUAAGCACCUUUCCUUAAUUAGGGUUAGCCUUGCCCCCAUGUUCUUCUAGGUUAUCUUUAGUAAUGCGAUGAACAUUUCACUUUAUUUUAGAUCCGUCAACAUUUUUAUGGUAGAUCCUUUGUAGCAGUAGAUCAUGGUAGUUUUGCCACAUCCCUCGGCCACCUGAUGUUUCACUUCAUGGAUUCAUACGGCAUCCCUGUCGCAUUUUCCGCGUCCAUAGCUUUCGUGAUUUCGUCAGGCACUAUCUUUUCAAUUUUGUCCACCCAUAGAUCCGUAAUUUACUGCUCGCCUUUAGAAACAUGUUUAUCCUCCUCCUGGGAAUAUUCCUGAGGAAAAAAUCCUUUUAGAGUCGCCACUCACCUUCUCCCACCACGACGAGUUAGAACAUCACCAUAGCUACGCCUUUGAUUGUUGAAUAGCGAGUCAUAACGCCUUUGCAGACAUGCCGUAAAUCUCUCAAUUGGCAAGUUAGAAU
RNAcentral lists this long non-coding RNA (687 nucleotides) under Hordeum vulgare. RNAcentral describes it as "long non-coding RNA (HVUL_LNC012404)". Lineage: Eukaryota; Viridiplantae; Streptophyta; Magnoliopsida; Poales; Poaceae. The record is from RNAcentral.